UACGUAGGGUGCGAGCGUUGUUCGGAAUUAUUGGGCGUAAAGAGCUCGUAGGCGGUCUGUCGCGUCGGUCGUGAAAACUUGGGGCUUAACCCUGAGCUUGCGGUCGAUACGGGCAUGACUGGAGUUCGGCAGGGGAGACUGGAAUUCCUGGUGUAGCGGUGAAAUGCGCAGAUAUCAGGAGGAACACCGGUGGCGAAGGCGGGUCUCUGGGCCGAUACUGACGCUGAGGAGCGAAAGCGUGGGGAGCGAACAGG
RNAcentral lists this ribosomal RNA (254 nucleotides) under uncultured bacterium. RNAcentral describes it as "partial 16S ribosomal RNA". It matches the Rfam family "Bacterial small subunit ribosomal RNA", at positions 524 to 776 of the family's 1533-position model. The record is from RNAcentral.